RNAcentral lists this ribosomal RNA (253 nucleotides) under uncultured bacterium. RNAcentral describes it as "partial 16S ribosomal RNA". It matches the Rfam family "Bacterial small subunit ribosomal RNA", at positions 524 to 776 of the family's 1533-position model. The record is from RNAcentral.
UACAGAGGGUGCAAGCGUUAUUCGGAAUGACUGGGCGUAAAGGGCGCGUAGGCGGUUGCCUAAGUUAGAUGUGAAAGCCCGGGGCUUAACCCCGGAAUUGCGCCGGAAACUACAUGACUAGAGCAUUGGAGAGGGUAGCGGAAUUCACGGUGUAGCAGUGAAAUGCGUAGAUAUCGUGAGGAACACCAGAGGCGAAGGCGGCUACCUGGACAAUUGCUGACGCUCAGGCACGAAAGCGUGGGGAGCAAAAGGG